GAAAUUCGCGGAAAAUAAUGCUCGCUCCCUUAAACCGGAAACAUACCCGAUUGUGGCAGUAGAUUUUGGAAAAUGCAGUCGACAGUGCGGUCUGGUUCGGUCAGCAUGAAGUGUUAUGAAGUGCCAGUUUGCCAACCUGAUCACUGGUUUUUGACAGCAGACCAUCUACUUCCUUGAUACCUGAACAACUCCUACAGUGAAGAGGCAUUUCCUGAACAAUGGAGGUAGUGCAUAUAAAAAUGUAUCAUGUUUCACAAUGUUUGAAACUGUUUAUAUGCUGCGACAUCCUCGAGACACAAUAACAGAAGCUUUCUAAAGACAUGCAAACCAUGAGAUGGAAACUUGCUUUGUAAUUCACUACCAGUGACUGGCAGUCCUGAAACAGAAUGUCCAACUUUUCUUGGCAAAUCCAGACCUACCAUCAGGAUGCAGUGUCAUGUAAGACACUGCAAGAGCUUUGUCUUUCUGGGAUUCCUAAGCCUUUGAAUGGAGAAAACAAGACAUUGCUGCAUAUAUGACGAUGAAAAUACCAUAUUGUUGGACAUUAAUUAAAAAGAGCAUUGACCAAUGACAUGUAUACCGUGGCUAGUGAUUGAUAAUUGUUGUGAUUUUUCUGAUUUGGCCAUACAGUCAGAAUGAAGGAAAGACAAAUAUCAUGGAUAUACACAGAUACACUUUUAAGCUCCUCUGGUACAAACUGUCAUAAUCUUAUGGUAUAGUGAAGUGUCUGUCAUAAGUCUGUCUGUCAACUUUUUCUUUAAAUUACUUUUUUAAAUUGAAAAUCACAGGGCCCUUAUAUUUGGUCAGCAAGUACUUGGGAUAAAUACUUUAAAGUUUCAUCAUGUAGAUUACCUUGACCUUCUUUCAAGGUCACAGGUGUCCAAAACAGGCAUCAGUUUCUUAAAAACUGGUCUUGAGUCAUGAUAUUUCAUGAUGAUUAUAUUUUAUUCAGUAUUCCUUUGCAUUGCUUUGUUUAAAAAAUAUUUUUUUCAAAUUGUUCCAUCAAAUAUAUGUACAUGUAUGUAGAUAUAUGUAAUGACAGCAUACUUGUUGAUAACUUUGUCGUAGCGAUUGUUUUGUUAACUUUUAUGCAUAUUGAUAUUUUUUUAUGAAAUUAAAUCAUUGUUUAUCUUC
Mizuhopecten yessoensis (Yesso scallop) is the source of this 1134-nucleotide long non-coding RNA. RefSeq lists it as uncharacterized. Lineage: Eukaryota; Metazoa; Mollusca; Bivalvia; Pectinida; Pectinidae. The record is from RefSeq and is a predicted model, not a curated record. The transcript is spliced from 4 exons.